MicroRNA precursor from Medicago truncatula (barrel medic), 171 nucleotides. It matches the Rfam family "MIR2619 microRNA precursor family". NCBI's taxonomy places the organism in Eukaryota, Viridiplantae, Streptophyta, Magnoliopsida, Fabales, Fabaceae. The record is from Rfam.
AAACAGCCCCCUAUAUUUUGAUUCUUUGGUAGUUUUGGACCCCCAAGGCAAAAAAAAAUAAAAAAAUUUGAAACAUGGCACCUCACUUAGGGUGCCACGUCAGCGUUGACCGAGUCAACAAUAGACUGGGGGUCCAAAACUGCCAAAGAAUCAAAACAUAGGGGGCUGUUU